Molecule: ribosomal RNA, 459 nt
Filed under: uncultured bacterium
Lineage: Bacteria
Description: partial 16S ribosomal RNA
Rfam family: Bacterial small subunit ribosomal RNA
Source: RNAcentral
CCUACGGGUGGCAGCAGUGAGGAAUAUUGGUCAAUGGGCGGGAGCCUGAACCAGCCAAGUCGCGUGAGGGAUGACGGUCCUAAGGAUUGUAAACCUCUUUUGUCCGGGAAUAAAGGCCGUUACGCGUCGCGCUUUGCGUGUACCGGAAGAAAAAGCAUCGGCUAAUUCCGUGCCAGCAGCCGCGGUAAUACGGAGGAUGCGGGCGUUAUCCGGAUUUAUUGGGUUUAAAGGGUGCGCAGGCGGAAGGUAAAGUCAGCGGUAAAGUUUAGGGGCUCAACCCCGCCGUGCCGUUGGAACUGGGGUUCUUGAGUGGGCGGAAAGCAGGCGGAAUGCGUGGUGUAGCGGUGAAAUGCAUAGAUAUGACGCAGAACUCCGAUUGCGAAGGCAGCGUGCCGGAGCGCAACUGACGCUGAUGCUCGAAAGCGUGGGUAUCGAACAGGAUUAGAUACCCGUGUAGUC